ACGCUAGCUACAGGCUUAACACAUGCAAGUCGAGGGGCAGCAUGGUCUUAGCUUGCUAAGGCCGAUGGCGACCGGCGCACGGGUGAGUAACACGUAUCCAACCUGCCGUCUACUCUUGGACAGCCUUCUGAAAGGAAGAUUAAUACAAGAUGGCAUCAUGAGUCCGCAUGUUCACAUGAUUAAAGGUAUUCCGGUAGACGAUGGGGAUGCGUUCCAUUAGAUAGUAGGCGGGGUAACGGCCCACCUAGUCUUCGAUGGAUAGGGGUUCUGAGAGGAAGGUCCCCCACAUUGGAACUGAGACACGGUCCAAACUCCUACGGGAGGCAGCAGUGAGGAAUAUUGGUCAAUGGGCGAGAGCCUGAACCAGCCAAGUAGCGUGAAGGAUGACUGCCCUAUGGGUUGUAAACUUCUUUUAUAAAGGAAUAAAGUCGGGUAUGGAUACCCGUUUGCAUGUACUUUAUGAAUAAGGAUCGGCUAACUCCGUGCCAGCAGCCGCGGUAAUACGGAGGAUCCGAGCGUUAUCCGGAUUUAUUGGGUUUAAAGGGAGCGUAGAUGGAUGUUUAAGUCAGUUGUGAAAGUUUGCGGCUCAACCGUAAAAUUGCAGUUGAUACUGGAUAUCUUGAGUGCAGUUGAGGCAGGCGGAAUUCGUGGUGUAGCGGUGAAAUGCUUAGAUAUCACGAAGAACUCCGAUUGCGAAGGCAGCCUGCUAAGCUGCAACUGACAUUGAGGCUCGAAAGUGUGGGUAUCAAACAGGAUUAGAUACCCUGGUAGUCCACACGGUAAACGAUGAAUACUCGCUGUUUGCGAUAUACUGCAAGCGGCCAAGCGAAAGCGUUAGGUAUUCCACCUGGGGAGUACGCCGGCAACGGUGAAACUCAAAGGAAUUGACGGGGGCCCGCACAAGCGGAGGGACAUGUGGUUUAAUUCGAUGAUACGCGAGGAACCUUACCCGGGCUUAAAUUGCAGAUGAAUUACGGUGAAAGCCGUAAGCCGCAAGGCAUCUGUGAAGGUGCUGCAUGGUUGUCGUCAGCUCGUGCCGUGAGGUGUCGGCUUAAGUGCCAUAACGAGCGCAACCCUUGUUGUCAGUUACUAACAGGUUCCGCUGAGGACUCUGACAAGACUGCCAUCGUAAGAUGUGAGGAAGGUGGGGAUGACGUCAAAUCAGCACGGCCCUUACGUCCGGGGCUACACACGUGUUACAAUGGGGGGUACAGAGGGCCGCUACCACGCGAGUGGAUGCCAAUCCCCAAAACCUCUCUCAGUUCGGACUGGAGUCUGCAACCCGACUCCACGAAGCUGGAUUCGCUAGUAAUCGCGCAUCAGCCACGGCGCGGUGAAUACGUUCCCGGGCCUUGUACACACCGCCCGUCAAGCCAUGGGAGCCGGGGGUACCUGAAGUGCGUAACCGCGAGGAGCGCCCUAGGGUAAAACUGGUGACUGGGGC
Molecule: ribosomal RNA, 1444 nt
Filed under: uncultured organism
Description: SSU rRNA
Rfam family: Bacterial small subunit ribosomal RNA
Source: RNAcentral